AUUGAACGCUGGCGGCAUGCUUUACACAUGCAAGUCGAACGGUAACAGGCCGCAAGGUGCUGACGAGUGGCGAACGGGUGAGUAAUGCAUCGGAACGUGCCCAGUCGUGGGGAUAACUACUCGAAAGAGUAGCUAAUACCGCAUACGAUCUAUGGAUGAAAGCGGGGGACCGUAAGGCCUCGCGCGAUUGGAGCGGCCGAUGUCAGAUUAGGUAGUUGGUGGGGUAAAGGCUCACCAAGCCAACGAUCUGUAGCUGGUCUGAGAGGACGACCAGCCACACUGGGACUGAGACACGGCCCAGACUCCUACGGGAGGCAGCAGUGGGGAAUUUUGGACAAUGGGCGCAAGCCUGAUCCAGCAAUGCCGCGUGCAGGAAGAAGGCCUUCGGGUUGUAAACUGCUUUUGUACGGAACGAAACGGCCCUGGUUAAUACCCGGGGCUAAUGACGGUACCGUAAGAAUAAGCACCGGCUAACUACGUG
Molecule: ribosomal RNA, 481 nt
Filed under: uncultured bacterium
Lineage: Bacteria
Description: partial 16S ribosomal RNA
Rfam family: Bacterial small subunit ribosomal RNA
Source: RNAcentral